GCCUGAGGGCAAGCACAUUUUCUGCAAAUUUCCAUUUUUGGGGGGGUAAACUAUUCCUUUAAAAGAGGACUUAAUAGUCCAAAAUAACAUCACGUAGCACCAUAGCGAAUUUUCCAUUUCACCCCAGAUACUAACACUUGUGGAUGACAUCAUCACUUGUGGGCGGGGCCUCUAAGAAAUGCCUUCAGGACCCGUAGGCUACUUUGUUUUCACUACUCACCUGGAGGACAGUUUCAACCUGGCACUCGCUCGCUCUCUGUCUCUCUGCUUUAGAGUGUGAAAAAUGGGGCUGUAAAGUCGUGGUGGCAGUGCUGCAGUCCUGUGCUGCUCCCCUGAGCAAUUCCACAGCCUCUCAAACACAGAAGCAGCAUUUCAUGAAGAGAAGGUCAUAUUCACAGAGAAAGGGAUUUUGCCUUCU
Long non-coding RNA from Cyprinus carpio (common carp), 418 nucleotides. Lineage: Eukaryota; Metazoa; Chordata; Actinopteri; Cypriniformes; Cyprinidae. The record is from Ensembl.